ACCGUUGAAGGGCCUUAUAUAUAUGCGGCCACUUACAUCCAAAACUUCAUUUUUGCUGCAAAUCUGCUCCUAGCACUGAGGCUUUGUCGAGUUGUCCCCCAGUCCCAAGUAGUUGUCUUCGUGCUCUCCCUUUGAAAGCUCCUUUCGAAGUUUUCCUUUCUGUGCCUGUUUCUUUGCCUCCUUUCUUCUUUGCCAUUUUUCCCUUUAUUCUUCUUUCUGGGGCUAGCGUUAUGGCUAGGACCUCUCCUCGAGGA
This 254-nucleotide long non-coding RNA is filed under the name Elaeis guineensis (African oil palm). RNAcentral describes it as "long non-coding RNA (EGUI_LNC043057)". Lineage: Eukaryota; Viridiplantae; Streptophyta; Magnoliopsida; Arecales; Arecaceae. The record is from RNAcentral.